Macadamia integrifolia is the source of this 736-nucleotide long non-coding RNA. RefSeq lists it as uncharacterized. NCBI's taxonomy places the organism in Eukaryota, Viridiplantae, Streptophyta, Magnoliopsida, Proteales, Proteaceae. The record is from RefSeq and is a predicted model, not a curated record. The transcript is spliced from 2 exons.
UUCAACCUAAACACUAAACCACUGAACUGAAAUUUAAAGUACAUACCUAGAACAGUGUUGUGGCCUUGUGGGGCUUACUUGGCUUAGCCCACAGGUCUGAACUGGCUGAACCAAUCUGCCCUGGUGAGAAUAUCAAUCUCCUGUCUGGGUUUUAAAGUAUUCUGUUCCUUAUAUAAUCUAUCAUAUCUCAUAAGCCUUUUUUUUUUUUUUUUUUUUUUUGUUCUGUACAGUUGGCAAGAUGGAGCCUCUUGGUAAUGCAGAUAUUGUUAGACUUACAGGCAAAAAGAGGAAGUGCAUGAGCUCCAUGUGACUCCACUGAAUUUUCUUGAGCCUAGUGUGAUGCAGAAUGGUAGCUGAACGGGAUUGACCCUUCUGAUAAUUUAGAUUGAGGUGAACCGGGUCCAAGAUUGGUAUUGUUCAAUAGGAAAUUUAGGAUUUAUUUUAUUUGGGAAAGAUAUGUAAGUUUUAUGUUGAGGUAGUUAUUAGACAGGUAAGGAAUUUCCAAUUUGAGUUUUAUUGAGAUUCUAUUUUUGUUAGUCUAAGCUUUAGGAACUAGUUAGGAUAUUUUAUUUCUAUUUUAGUUUUAGACUUCAAUUGGGAAGCUUUUAAUUUCGUUUUUUUAUAAAUAGGCUUGUAACCCAAUUCAUUGGGCAGAUUUUGAGAGUGGAGUUGUUGAGUUGUUUAUGGUGCCAGAUUGGUACAUAGUAAUGGACGUGUGACCUCCUCCUUCACCCCA